CUUUCCCGAAGGGCAGCGCCGGCUAGCCACGGAGUCCCAGGGCGGAGUACUCCCUAUACCCUGCAGUCCGAACAAUCGAUUCCGACUCAUCGGACGUCUCACGUCACUAACUUGACAAUAACCAAAACAAAACAAAGGUAUUUUUUACAUCAAAAACUAAGACAAUUGGACGAAAUUGGUGGCUUCGGUGUUCAUGCCACAACGCACCCACCCUUCCUUGGGUGUUAAUGUUGGUGGCACACCCCAUCUCCGGCAGACCGAAGUCUAUUCCUGGUGGAUUCGGAUCGGCUCAUCUCCCCGCCCAAGGAACACUUAAGGCCGAUCUCAGACCGUCGCCCAGAUGAGAAGUCGACAAAGCGGCAACAACUCCAGGGAAAUUUUUAGACACAAAAAAAAUUAAAAGUGUUCGGCAAAAUUCGCCACGGAAAUUAAUAAAUAAAUAUGCAACUAUUGUACGGCACCAAUUUGGAGGCGUUUGCCAAUCGGGUCAUCUAAUCCUGAGGAGCUCCUAGGGAAAUGAAAGGACGUCCUGAAAAGGGAUAUUGUUGGACGCGCGGCUUGGGUACGGAAUAAAGCCUCUAAUUCCAGAUUAGAAUUCACAUUGAGUAUUUGGCAAUAUGUUCGACUGUAUGAUUUUAUAAAUUAAUGAUUAUUCAUGGCAGAGUUGAACGUUGGUUAUGGUCGAAGCUGCAGCAAGUAGAAAGAGACCGCUAGCGGCGAAAACAAGCGCGAGUCCGCCCGGAACCAAAUGGUCUGGAGGAAAGCUCAGCGUUAGUGCCAGAAGGGGCCGGAGGCAGUGCGUCGGUGGUCCCAGAGAUGACCAGUAGUCAGCACGGGUAUUCGUUCCCGGAACGGACUCACCGAGGGAAUCCCCGUAUGUGGCCGUCACGGAGGCAGAUGCUGGAGGCUGUUGGAGUCUGCCGCUGCUGCUGAUGCGACUGAUGCUGCUGCUGAUCGCUGCUGCGGCUGAUGCUGCUGCUGAUCGCUGCUGCGCCUGAUGCUGCUGCUGAUCGCUGCUGCGGCUGAUGCUCGGCUGCCACUGAUGCUCGGCUGCCACUGAUAACUGCUGCGGCUGAUGCUCGGCUGCCACUGAUAACUGCUGCUGCUGGUCAGGUGCAGGCUACUUAGUCUUUACGACCAGAUAAGUAUUUUUCUUUCACGAGUCUUCUAAAUAUCCGGGGCCCUUUAAAUAGGGUUCCCGGAGGCUUUAAUAUUUU
Molecule: long non-coding RNA, 1217 nt
Organism: Drosophila gunungcola (fruit fly)
Lineage: Eukaryota; Metazoa; Arthropoda; Insecta; Diptera; Drosophilidae
Exons: 3
Source: RefSeq, a predicted model, not a curated record